CUUCCCUGCAUCUUCAACAUUUCUAGCCUCCAAAACCUCCUCAGUCUCUUCAGUUUUCUUCUCAACCUUACACGUCUUCUCAUCAUCAUCAUCUUCAUGCUAGCCAUAUUUGAUCUCCUCACCUUUCUCAUCAUUCCAAUCCCUUAGCUUUUUGUAGACAGCCAUGGCAUCUUUCUUUCUUCCUUUAAUUGGUACAAAUGCUAUACCUCUGGCAUAAGGUGACGCACUGCAUGCAAAUCUCAUCUUGACACCGUGAGAGGUAUUCUUGAGCCUGCCCCAUCCAAUCCUUAGCAGUGCCCUCCAUUUUGUUU
This 311-nucleotide long non-coding RNA is filed under the name Elaeis guineensis (African oil palm). Its description in RNAcentral is "long non-coding RNA (EGUI_LNC023088)". Lineage: Eukaryota; Viridiplantae; Streptophyta; Magnoliopsida; Arecales; Arecaceae. The record is from RNAcentral.